GCUGACGUAGCUCCAAUGGUAGAGCAGUUGUUUCGUAAGCAGCGGGUUCAGAGUUCGAGUCUCUGCGUCAGCUCCA
RNAcentral lists this transfer RNA (76 nucleotides) under Clostridiaceae bacterium. RNAcentral's name for it is "tRNA-Thr". It matches the Rfam family "tRNA". Rfam says of the family: Transfer RNA (tRNA) molecules are approximately 80 nucleotides in length. Their secondary structure includes four short double-helical elements and three loops (D, anti-codon, and T loops). The record is from RNAcentral. Lineage: Bacteria; Bacillati; Bacillota; Clostridia; Eubacteriales; Clostridiaceae.